This 253-nucleotide ribosomal RNA is filed under the name uncultured bacterium. RNAcentral's name for it is "partial 16S ribosomal RNA". It matches the Rfam family "Bacterial small subunit ribosomal RNA", at positions 524 to 776 of the family's 1533-position model. The record is from RNAcentral.
UACGAAGGGGGCUAGCGUUGCUCGGAAUCACUGGGCGUAAAGCGCACGUAGGCGGCUUGUUAAGUCAGAGGUGAAAGCCUGGAGCUCAACUCCAGAACUGCCUUUGAUACUGGCAAGCUUGAGUUCGGGAGAGGUGAGUGGAACUGCGAGUGUAGAGGUGAAAUUCGUAGAUAUUCGCAAGAACACCAGUGGCGAAGGCGGCUCACUGGCCCGAUACUGACGCUGAGGUGCGAAAGCGUGGGGAGCAAACAGG